This 429-nucleotide ribosomal RNA is filed under the name bacterium. RNAcentral describes it as "partial 16S ribosomal RNA". It matches the Rfam family "Bacterial small subunit ribosomal RNA", at positions 355 to 776 of the family's 1533-position model. The record is from RNAcentral.
UGGGGAAUAUUGCACAAUGGGGGCAACCCUGACCGAGCAACGCCGCGUGAGUGAAGAAGGUUUUCGGAUCGUAAAGCUCUGUUGUAAGAGAAGAACGUGUGUGAGAGAGGAAAGUUCACACAGUGACGGUAACUUACCAGAAAGGGACGGCUAACUACGUGCCAGCAGCCGCGGUAAUACGUAGGUCCCGAGCGUUGUCCGGAUUUAUUGGGCGUAAAGCGAGCGCAGGCGGUUUAAUAAGUCUGAAGUUAAAGGCAGUGGCUUAACCAUUGUUCGCUUUGGAAACUGUUAAACUUGAGUGCAGAAGGGGAGAGUGGAAUUCCAUGUGUAGCGGUGAAAUGCGUAGAUAUAUGGAGGAACACCGGUGGCGAAAGCGGCUCUCUGGUCUGUAACUGACGCUGAGGCUCGAAAGCGUGGGGAGCAAACAGG